AACGAACGCUGGCGGCAGGCCUAACACAUGCAAGUCGAGCGGACCUUUCGGGGUCAGCGGCGGACGGGUGAGUAACGCGUGGGAAUAUGCCCUUCUCUACGGAAUAGUCCUGGGAAACUGGGGGUAAUACCGUAUACGCCCUUUGGGGGAAAGAUUUAUCGGGGAAGGAUUAGCCCGCGUUGGAUUAGGUAGUUGGUGGGGUAAUGGCCUACCAAGCCGACCAUCCAUAGCUGGUUUGAGAGGAUGAUCAGCCACACUGGGACUGAGACACGGCCCAGACUCCUACGGGAGGCAGCAGUGGGGAAUCUUAGACAAUGGGGGCAACCCUGAUCUAGCCAUGCCGCGUGAGUGAUGAAGGCCUUAGGGUUGUAAAGCUCUUUCAGCUGGGAAGAUAAUGACGGUACCAGCAGAAGAAGCCCCGGCUAACUCCGUG
Molecule: ribosomal RNA, 433 nt
Filed under: uncultured bacterium
Lineage: Bacteria
Description: partial 16S ribosomal RNA
Rfam family: Bacterial small subunit ribosomal RNA
Source: RNAcentral